GAUGAACGCUGGCGGCGUGCCUAAUACAUGCAAGUCGAGCGAACGGACGAGAAGCUUGCUUCUCUGAUGUUAGCGGCGGACGGGUGAGUAACACGUGGAUAACCUACCUAUAAGACUGGGAUAACUUCGGGAAACCGGAGCUAAUACCGGAUGAUAUUUUGAACCGCAUGGUUCAAAAGUGAAAGACGGUCUUGCUGUCACUUAUAGAUGGAUCCGCGCUGCAUUAGCUAGUUGGUAAGGUAACGGCUUACCAAGGCAACGAUGCAUAGCCGACCUGAGAGGGUGAUCGGCGACACUGGAACUUAGACACGGUCCAGAGUACUACGGGAGGCAGCAGUAGGGAACCGGCCGCAAUAGGCGAAAGCCUGACGGAGCGACGCCGCGUGAGUGAUGAAGGUCUUCGGAUCGUAAUACUCUGUUAUUAGGGAAGAACAUAUGUGUAAGUAACUGUGCACAUCUUGACGGUACCUAAUCAGAAAGCCACGGCUAACUACGUG
Molecule: ribosomal RNA, 497 nt
Filed under: uncultured bacterium
Lineage: Bacteria
Description: partial 16S ribosomal RNA
Rfam family: Bacterial small subunit ribosomal RNA
Source: RNAcentral